GGCGGGGCGGGGGCACGGGGGGAACGCGAAGAACCUUACCUACUCUUGACAUCCAGAGAACUUUCCAGAGAUGGAUUGGUGCCUUCGGGAACUCUGAGACAGGUGCUGCAUGGCUGUCGUCAGCUCGUGUUGUGAAAUGUUGGGUUAAGUCCCGCAACGAGCGCAACCCUUAUCCUUUGUUGCCAGCGGUUCGGCCGGGAACUCAAAGGAGACUGCCAGUGAUAAACUGGAGGAAGGUGGGGAUGACGUCAAGUCAUCAUGGCCCUUACGAGUAGGGCUACACACGUGCUACAAUGGCAUAUACAAAGAGAAGCGACCUCGCGAGAGCAAGCGGACCUCAUAAAGUAUGUCGUAGUCCGGAUUGGAGUCUGCAACUCGACUCCAUGAAGUCGGAAUCGCUAGUAAUCGUAGAUCAGAAUGCUACGGUGAAUACGUUCCCGGGUCUUGUACACACCGA
This 457-nucleotide ribosomal RNA is filed under the name Serratia sp. BM12. RNAcentral describes it as "bacterial SSU rRNA". It matches the Rfam family "Bacterial small subunit ribosomal RNA", at positions 931 to 1393 of the family's 1533-position model. The record is from RNAcentral. Lineage: Bacteria; Pseudomonadati; Pseudomonadota; Gammaproteobacteria; Enterobacterales; Yersiniaceae.